GACGAACGCUGGCGGCGUGCUUAACACAUGCAAGUCGAACGGAAGGGCCUGCUUUCCCUUGUGGAUUGCGGGUACUCGAGUGGCGAACGGGUGAGUAACACGUGAGUGAUCUGCCCCCAACUUGGGUAUAAGCCUGGGAAACUGGGUCUAAUUCCCGAUAGGACUGCAGGGUGGUGCCUGUGGUGGAAAACGAUUUUCUAGUGGUUGGGGAUGAGCUCGCGGCCUAUCAGCUUGUUGGUGGGGUAAUGGCCUACCAAGGCGGCGACGGGUAGCCGGCCUGGGAGGGUGGACGGCCACAUUGGGACUGAGAUACGGCCCAGACUCCUACGGGAGGCAGCAGUGGGGAAUAUUGCACAAUGGGCGGAAGCCUGAUGCAGCGACGCCGCGUGGGGGAUGACGGCCUUCGGGUUGUAAACUCCUUUCGACCGCGAGGAAGCCACCUGGUUGGAAGGGUGGUGACGGUAGUGGUAGAAGAAGCACCGGCUAACUACGUG
RNAcentral lists this ribosomal RNA (494 nucleotides) under uncultured bacterium. RNAcentral describes it as "partial 16S ribosomal RNA". It matches the Rfam family "Bacterial small subunit ribosomal RNA", at positions 28 to 507 of the family's 1533-position model. The record is from RNAcentral.